AAUAAGUGUAGUUUUGCACGGUUCAUAUACAACGUUUCAUCGUUCGUCUUAUUUUAAAAUUUUUUAUAUGAUUAAUAUUUUUAUUGUUACUAGAUGAUAAAACAUGAAUAGUACUUUAUCUGUGACUAAUUUUUCUAUUUUUUUAAAAAAAAUCAAAUAAGAACGGACGGUCAAACGUUGUAUGGAUUUUCACGGCCGUACUUAUU
Oryza sativa Japonica Group (Japanese rice) is the source of this 206-nucleotide microRNA precursor. It matches the Rfam family "MIR812 microRNA precursor family". The record is from Rfam. NCBI's taxonomy places the organism in Eukaryota, Viridiplantae, Streptophyta, Magnoliopsida, Poales, Poaceae.